AAUUAUUAAAAAAAUAUUUUAAUUGACAUAAAAAUAGCAUGUGGUUUUCUACUAUAUAGUUGAUACAUGCAAAGUUGAAAAAAAUGGCUAAAAUUCUCAAAUUUGUUUAUAUUAUGAUCCUUUUUAUUUCCCUAUUUCUUGUUGUUUACUGUGAAAAAGAAUGUGCUAAUGACAUCGAUUGUUAUAAAAUAUUUUUGGGCCCUCCUCUUAUACCUAUGAAAUGCAUCGAUGGUGAAUGUAAAAGGAUUACAUAGUUAAGGUUAUCGGUCGGAAAUCCAAGCUUUGAUAGGGGAUAUUGGGUGGGAUGUGUCUAUUGUACUAUUAUUAUUGAAAUUUGAAUUGUUUUGUGGUCUGUAAAUUAUUGGCUCAUAAGCUAUAUUAUAAAAUAUGAACUUUAAAUACGAAAGUCGACUUUAAUUUUGUGGAUGAUUUGAUCAAAUUUCAUACUUUUA
Long non-coding RNA from Medicago truncatula (barrel medic), 452 nucleotides. RefSeq lists it as uncharacterized. The record is from RefSeq and is a predicted model, not a curated record. Lineage: Eukaryota; Viridiplantae; Streptophyta; Magnoliopsida; Fabales; Fabaceae. The transcript has 3 exons.